AAAAAAGGGUACAACAACACGGUAUAAAUCAUCUCUCUUCUUAUGGAUGUUCAUAUGGCGCAUGCAUAGCUGUAAAGAGUUCCUGGAGAAUAUUUCUCUGAAGCCGCACGUCCAAUUUGACAUUGCACACGUACCUUGGCUCUGGUUCAGUUGCAGCAUGCCUGUGCAUAUCUGCUCCUCCAAAUUGCUACUUGAUUCGUGGAGCAUCCACUGGGAGCUGUGAGCAAUGAUGGUCGGUCAUCGGGAGCACAAACUCAACUACUGUGCAUUCAGAACAUGGAAUGAACUCUUUGUGGCCAUAGAUGUAUCUUUUGUGUUGAAUCUAAUGAAAAGGAGGA
RNAcentral lists this long non-coding RNA (338 nucleotides) under Brachypodium distachyon (stiff brome). RNAcentral describes it as "long non-coding RNA (BDIS_LNC005930)". The record is from RNAcentral. Lineage: Eukaryota; Viridiplantae; Streptophyta; Magnoliopsida; Poales; Poaceae.